Long non-coding RNA from Cornus florida, 3134 nucleotides. RefSeq lists it as uncharacterized. Lineage: Eukaryota; Viridiplantae; Streptophyta; Magnoliopsida; Cornales; Cornaceae. The transcript is spliced from 6 exons. The record is from RefSeq and is a predicted model, not a curated record.
AUUUAUAGGCCCAUGGAUGGGCCACCAGAAAAAAAAAUUAGGGCAAAUCAUUUCAGCCUCCCCAAUCGCCUCCGUCUGUCUCGUUCUCAUCUCUGAACUUACCCAACCCCCCCUCUCUGUGCAACUGCAAACCACAAAAUCUACAAGAAUCAGAAGUUCAAAACCCAUAUAUUUCAGUUUAUCUAUCUGUCUGCAAAAAUCAAAAGUUCAAAACCUAUUACCUAUAUCAAAACCCAGUUCAAAACCCACAUAUCGGCAUAUCAUUUCAGAUUGUUCAAAAAAAUCAAAACCCAUAUCUUUCAGUUUCCAUCGCCCGCUGUUCCAGUUCGGGUUCGCCGUUCGCAAGGUUCAGCCGCUGUCUCUCAACUCUCAAGCUUGCCCCCCUCUCUCUCUGCAACGGCUAACUUGUAUGAAUCAAGCUGAUACAAAAAUGCCAAGGGUAAUUCCCAUACUACGCAAACAACUUAAUUGUCAAUUUUGCAGUCCCAUUUUUUCAUCACUGUUGGAGGCAUAUUAAAUUCUACUUCCUCAAACACAGGCCACAUAACACGCAUGUCCCAACACUUCCUCAUCAAUUUGUAGCAUCCAUUGGCAUCCCGAAAGAGGAGAUCGUUUUUAACAAAAAACCCAGAAAUUUAUGAUUCAAAUCAACCAAAACCAAAGGGGAGAAGAAAACAGUUUUAAGAAAAAAAGAAAAAGAAAAAGAAAAAUGAGAGCACCAAUUACCCACUUCAAUUUUUCAUGCGAGUUACACUGUGGAAGUCGCUUGGUCAUAGUCUCCCAAAAAAGGGAGAGACAACUACCCCAACCCCUUUUAUUUGCAAUAGCCUCCAACAAAGAUUUCUUACGUUUGACUGCACCCGCCGUAAAGCCUACUAAGCCUCUUAACUCUAGAAGGUCUUUUUGAACACUUUCUACAAGUCCUAUUUUGUCAAAAGAUUAAACAAAGUGGCAAUGUUAACAUGAAAUUUAGACGAAUCUCAUAAAAAGAAGUCAGCUCGAAUUCACCAGGCCAGAAUAAUUUGACCAUUUUGUUUUGCAUCACUAUAAGAACAGAUUUCCAUGAAAGCUAUCAUUUUGAAUGAAAUCGUCCAAUCCUUUUAUAAUUCCCUUGAAUGCACUCAAAAAGUCUUUUUCUGGACGAAUCAUGAUGCCACUGUCAAUAUGCCAAAUUGGGUUCAUUAUCCCAAACCCAACGAAUAAAACCUGCUCUCAAGCGGUCCAAGACUAGUGUUGUUACCCCAUCUUCGAAUUUAUGGUACUUGAUCUUUGCAAUAUUUGAAUUGUCGUGGCAACUUAUUUUUUCCACUACUUUUUCGGUUGUCAGCUUAUCAUGUUGUGCGUAGCUAGUAACUGAUAUCUUCACAGGUUUUCCUAUGUGGGCAAAAUUGCCGAUUCAAUUUUAAUAGCACUCAUAAUCUUCUAGUGUUUCUUCUACUUCCCACCACACACUUCCACUGCUGCACUGCAAAAGACAAUACAGAACAUAGAUAGUAAAUUUUAGCACUUUCCAUGAAUCAGCAACCAAGAAAGAAAAUAAUAAAUCAAUCUUUUAGCCUAAUGGAAAGAAAGUUCUAGAAGAGGUUUUGGUGGGGGAUGCGUCUCAAUUCGUCUGCAAUCUAUACAGAAUAGCAAAGUUCGUUGGAUCAUUUAUCUCUUUCUCUCUAUCUGGGUUUGGUUGUGGUGGACUUUCAACAUACAAUCGGCAGCUUCUCUUUUCGAAUCAAGUUGAUACAAAAAUGCCAAGGGCAGUAGAAGUGCGUAGUGGGAGGGUUAUGAGUUAUGAAAAUGGAAUUAGCAAUUUUACUCACAUAGGAGAACCUGUGAAGAUAUCAGUUACUAGCUACGUAGAACAUGAUAAGCUGACAGCCAAAAAAGUAGUGAAAAAAAUAAGUUGCCACGACAAUCCGAAUAUUGCAAAGAUCAAUGUCAUAAAUUCGAAGAGGGGUAACAACACUAGUCUUGGAUCGCUUAGGAGCAGGUUUUAUUCGUUGGGUUUGGGAUAAUGAACCGUGGCUCUCUGGCAUAUUGACAGUGGCAUCAUGAUUCGUCCAGAAAGAGACUUUUUGGGUGUGUUCAAGGGAAUUAUAAAAGGAUUAGACGAUUUCAUUCAAAAUGAUAACUUUCAUGGAAAUUUGUUCCAUGGUGUUACGGUGAUGGAAAACAAGAUGGUCAAACUAUUCUGGCCUGGUGAAUUUGAGCUGGGACUUGUAGAAGGUGUUCGAAAAGACUUCUAGAGUUAAGAGGCUUAGUAGGCUUUGGUGCAGUCAAACGUAAGAAAUUUUUGUUGGCGGCUAUUGCAUAUAAAAGUGGUUGGGGUCGUUGUCUCUCCCUUUUUUGGGAGACAAUGACCGAGAGACUUCCACAGUGUAACUCGCUCAAAAAGUUGAAGUGGGUAAUUGGUGAUCUCAUUUUUCUUUUUCUUUUCUUUUCUUUUUUUUUUUUUCUCUCUUUUUUUUUUUUUUUAUCCUUAGAAUUAUUUUCUUAUGGUAUUGGUUGAUUUGAAUCAGAAAUUUCUGGGUUUUUUUUUUUUGUUAAAAACGAUCCCCUCUUUCGGAAUGCCAAUGGAUGCUACAAAUUGAUGAAGAAGUGUUGGGACAUGCGCGUCAUGUGGCCUGUGUUGGAGGAAGUAGAAUUUAAUAUGCCUCCAACAGUGAUGAAAAAAUGGGACUGCAAAAUUGACAAUUCAAGUUGUUUGCGUAUUAUUUUUUGGAUUGGAGAUACAGAAAAUGCGCCCGGACAGUCAAGCUUUAAGUUUAACACGGAUUCUCAGGAACACGGGAAAGAGAUGUCGUAUCCACAAAGCUACACACUGAAGUAUGGAAAGAAUUGCUCUUACGCCAAGUUUGAUGAUGCCUCCUCUCUCUCUCUAUACACGCAGACUUUCCACAGACUAGUAUUUCAUAUUCGGUACAAAUGGAUUGUGAUAGCUAAAUCAAUAGUGUUACUACUUUUAAGUAUCUCUCCUUGUUUUGAAUGGUUGAAAUUUACUACUAGCAAUACUUUAGUGUGGAGAUCCUGUACGUAAACCUGAUCCAGGAGUUGGCUUGUCAUUUUUUUUUUAUUGCAGAUUUGUGAUCAAUGAGUUGGCUUCUUUGCUUUAAUUUGUUACAUCAUGAAAUGGUUUAAAUUUU